AUGUGGCUUCGCCUCAUUCAGCAGAAAUACCUCCGUGGCCAGCCUCUCGCCUUCUGCCAGUGGUCUGGGGGCUCCCAGUUCUGGCAAUCCAUCAUCCAGCUCCUCCCAGUCCUCUGGAUCGGUACCUCGAUCGUGGUGGGGUCUGGCACCACCAUGUUGUUCUGGUUCGAUAGAUGGACUUGAGACAUGCCCCUCGCGGCCCGCUUUCCUGACCUGUUCUCCAUCGCGGUUGAUCCGCGGAUUUCUGUCGCGACGGCCCUUAUUGACUUAGGGCAACUCGCGUUCCAGAGACCAUUUAGCCCGGCGGAGAACGUGGAUUGGCAGGAAUUGCUUGACUGCAUCGCGUUACACGAGCCUGAUCUCGCGAUUGGAGAUGACCGCUCCACAUGGCGUCUAGAGCGUUCUGGGCAAUUCUCCACUAAGUCUCUCUACCAGGCCAUCGCCCCAUCGCUAGGCCAUGAGGCGCUCACCACCAUCUGGGAAAUCCGCCUCCCCCUGAAAAUUAGGAUCUUCUUAUGGCAAUGGAUUAGCGGACGCCUCCCGUCCAGUGUGGAGGUCCUGAAACGCAAUGGCCCCGGUGAUGGGCGUUGCACGCUCUGCGGGCCUGAAGAGGUUUUGAACCAUAUCUUCUUCACCUGCGUGUCCGCACAGUUCCUCUGGAGCUGUUUCCGCGAAAUAGUGGGUGGAAGAUGGGACCACAACAACUUCCCCGCUCUCUUCGCCGAACUCCAGGCGCUACCACCCUCGGCUCGUCACAUUAGGUGGCUGAUCAUUGGGGUGCUUGCCUGGACACUGUGGACCGUUAGGAAUAAACUUGUGAUUCGGCGUAUCCCUCUUCGUCGUGCUACUGACGUUUUGUGCAAAUGGCCUGGUUACUUGCAGCUUUGGCGGCCGCUUAGCCGUCCCAGGGAGAGAGACGCCAUCACCUCCAUCAUCACCCAGCUUCGUGCGAUGGCUCUCUGGAUGGCUCCACCGCUUCCCCCACCACCACCGUAG
This 996-nucleotide ribosomal RNA is filed under the name Triticum aestivum (bread wheat). RNAcentral's name for it is "partial small subunit ribosomal RNA". Lineage: Eukaryota; Viridiplantae; Streptophyta; Magnoliopsida; Poales; Poaceae. The record is from RNAcentral.